GAUGAACGCUGGCGGCGUGCCUAAUACAUGCAAGUCGAGCGAACGGACGAGAAGCUUGCUUCUCUGAUGUUAGCGGCGGACGGGUGAGUAACACGUGGAUAACCUACCUAUAAGACUGGGAUAACUUCGGGAAACCGUAGCUAAUACCGGAUAAUAUUUUGAACCGCAUGGUUCAAAAGUGAAAGACGGUCUUGCUGUCCCUUAUAGAUGGAUCCGCGCUGCUUUAGCUAGUUGGUAAGGUAACGGCUUACCAAGGCAACGAUGCAUAGCCGACCUGAGAGGGUGCGCGGCCACACUGGAACUGAGACACGGUCCAGACUCCUAGGGGAGGCAGCAGUAGGGAAUCUUCCGCAAGGGGCGAAAGCCUGACGGAGCAACGCCGCGUGAGUGAUGAAGGUCUUCGGAUCGUAAAACUCUGUUAUGAGGGAAGAACAUAUGUGUAAGUAACUGUGCACAUCUUGACGGUACCUAAUCAGAAAGCCACGGCUAACUACGU
RNAcentral lists this ribosomal RNA (496 nucleotides) under uncultured bacterium. RNAcentral describes it as "partial 16S ribosomal RNA". It matches the Rfam family "Bacterial small subunit ribosomal RNA", at positions 28 to 506 of the family's 1533-position model. The record is from RNAcentral.